GUGUUUCCAUCUCUCUCGUCCCUUCUCUAAUGAUAUGUAUACCUUCUUUUUUUCUUUAGUAAUUCACCCCUAAAUCCUACAAAGCCCUGUCCCGUUUUAAGUGUUUUAACCCCUAAUCACUGAUGCCCUGUCCGACUGACGUAGGGGCCCCGUAACGUAUGUCAAGGCUCUGUCUAAAUUCGUUGGGGUUCUGUCUCGUGACGUAGGGAUAAAGUAGAAUUGGGUCACUAUACUUAAUGUGAGUGCACUAUAUAUUUUAUUAAAUAAUCCAGGACUUGUACCCAAAAUAUAGCAACCCUCCUAAAACACUCCUGACACCCCUACACUUCCUAAAAUACACCCCGUAUGUAAAAACCGAGCUCGAAAUACAAUAUAUUAUUAAAAAUAAAUGAAAAACAAGAAAUAGUAAGUUGAGGCGGGCCGCGUAGACCCACCCCAACCUUUACGCGGCCGCGAGGGACUAAAAAGGUGGCACAGCCUGGUGCGGCCACGUGUCCCAACACCCGGCUAAGCUAGUUGUCGACUCAGCACAGCUACGCGUUGGACCUAGCUUUGACGCGGGCCGCGUAAGCUUUGUGCUUAUGUUACGCGAGCCGCGAGAGACCCAAGUUCAGGCACUAUAUAAAAGAGGCAUCGGCUGUCCAUUUCAAUUCGUUCACAAUUCAUUCUCACUCUCAAAAUUCUGAAUUAGAGUUAUUAUACUCGGGCAUUAUACCCCCCUAAUUAGCGAAGCUCUGCCUCGUUGUAAGUAUCAUAACCCAUGGAUACGUAUUAGAUACUCUACCCGAUUGAUCUAGGGUUCCGUAACGACUGUCGUGGUUCUGCCCGACGUAGUCGUUGGAAUACCGUCUCGGGGAGGGUAUUACUAAUGUUAAAAUGGGUUAUUAUACUAACGCGUGUGCAUUGUUUAUUCAAUUAGAUUAUAACCAGGGAAUCACAAAGGAAAGCCUAUAAAAGCAAUGUGAGUUGAUUCACUUUUUGUAAACAUUUUUGUUUACUGUUUUUACAAAACCUCACUUAAUUAAAUAUAUACAAAGCAGUUAUUGAGUAUUUGUAAAGAAUACAAUUAUAGUGGAUAUGUUGGGGUUUUGUAUACAAAAUGGGUUACUGGCGUGGUAACAUCCCAUAUGUUGAGUAUGACCGUACCACUGAUGUUAAUUGUGAUGUCUUGGAUACAAAUGUAAAUUGCGGAUGUGCCCUCAAUACUGCAAAUUGGUUUUUACUUAAACUUGAUUAAACUGGGAUUCACUCACCAGUAUUUCUUGCUGAUAAAAUGUUUUAAACACGUGUUUCAGAGUAUGAGUAACUUAGUGUGAAGCCAAUAAAAGGCAGCUGGAGAGCACUGAAGGCUUGGAAAAGUGGCUAUAAAGUUACCUAAAAUAAAAUAGAUGUUUUCAUUAAAUAAAAUAGGAUUUAUUCCUAUGAAAAUGUGUGUACCACAAAACUUGGGUUUUAUCCCAUGUGU
RNAcentral lists this long non-coding RNA (1465 nucleotides) under Helianthus annuus (common sunflower). RNAcentral's name for it is "hypothetical non coding rna". The record is from RNAcentral. Lineage: Eukaryota; Viridiplantae; Streptophyta; Magnoliopsida; Asterales; Asteraceae.